UGCUCAGAGCGGGGUGGACGUGGGCCUCCGAGGCUGACCUCCCAGCGGACCAGGAAUCUGCCUGGAGAUAAUCAAGAUCGACACCGUGCCUUAGAACGCACCUUAGUACCCUGUCAUCUGAACACACCAGGGCUGGUUUAACCCCCUCACUGCUGUCACGGGAGCCCCAGGUCCUUCCCCCUCGGGGAUGGGACAAGGCGUGCGGGGCAGGUUGCCCUGGGCUCCUGGGUUGCCUGGCUCUGCUUUCCUCUCACUGAGAAGGCCUCUCACUCUGCGCCCGAGGACUGAGGCGGUCUGCCCUGCGCCCGGUGAGUGCACGGACUGCGUCACGCCACAAGCACACGCCUGGGGAGGGGGGCUUCCUCCAGGGCCCCCACUGACUCUGCCCUGCCCUCCAGGGGCCAACACCAGGUUGCCCCAGAAUCUCUGAGUAGGGGUGGCAGCAUCCCAGGGUCAAGUGUACUGGUGAUGGGUUUGGGGUCCAUAAUUAUGGCUUGGAAACCGUUGAUUGCGUCUUUUAUGGCCUUGUCCUUGCCAGAGGGAAAUGGGCCCAGUCCCAAAACAGAAGGAGGUAAGUCUUAGCAUGUGACAGCAGGCCCACCAGCUGUGGUGACUGGCUCUGGAGAGAGGACAGACUGACAGUGUGUGCUAGCUUGGGGGUAGGGUCAUGUUCUAGAAGGAGUCCAGGCUUUGGGGCGGAGGGGCUGAUGAUGCCAGGCCCACAUCGCCCUGGGGGCAGGGGGCCUCCCCUGCUUGUGGGAGGGAGAGAAGUAACCAGACCUGCUCAAGGUAUUGGCCUUUUUUUUUUUUUUUUUUUUUUUUUGGUCCCUCCAGGGUGGGGUGGGGUGGGGAGGGCACCCCGAGAGGCCGGCCAUCUUGAGAGCACACACCCAGCUCCAGAGUGGACAUGGAGUGCGCAUCUUUGGCAAGGCCCUGAGCAGUCCCAUGCCUCAGUUUCCUGAUCAGAAAAGCAUCUGCACACACCCACUCGUCGUAGGCAGAGGGAACCGCUUACACAGAUAAAUAACCCAGCACAGUAGCUGGUGGAAAACGGGGGCCUUCCCCCCCUCCUCCGUCCUGUCUGAAACCCUGAAGCUUCCCUCCUA
Neogale vison (American mink) is the source of this 1106-nucleotide long non-coding RNA. RefSeq lists it as uncharacterized. The record is from RefSeq and is a predicted model, not a curated record. NCBI's taxonomy places the organism in Eukaryota, Metazoa, Chordata, Mammalia, Carnivora, Mustelidae. The transcript is spliced from 3 exons.